This 241-nucleotide ribosomal RNA is filed under the name uncultured bacterium. RNAcentral describes it as "partial 16S ribosomal RNA". It matches the Rfam family "Bacterial small subunit ribosomal RNA", at positions 524 to 763 of the family's 1533-position model. The record is from RNAcentral.
UACGUAGGGUGCAAGCGUUAAUCGGAAUUACUGGGCGUAAAGCGUGCGCAGGCGGCUUUGCAAGACAGAUGUGAAAUCCCCGGGCUUAACCUGGGAACCGCAUUUGUGACUGCAUGGCUGGAGUGCGGCAGAGGGGGAUGGAAUUCCGCGUGUAGCAGUGAAAUGCGUAGAUAUGCGGAGGAACACCGAUGGCGAAGGCAAUCCCCUGGGCCUGCACUGACGCUCCAUGCACGAAAGCGUG